AACGAACGCUGGCGGCAUGCCUAACACAUGCAAGUCGAACGAAACCUGCGGGCCUACUGGCGCACGGGUGCGUAACGCGGGGAGACCUGCCCUUAAGUUCGGAAUCACGCCCCGAAAGGGGUGCUAAUACCGAAGAAUGUCCUCGGACCAAACAUUUAUCGCCUUUGGAUGCGCCCGCGUUGGUGUAGCUAGUUGGUAGGGUAAAAGGCUACCAAGGCGACGAACCAUAGCUGGUCUGAGAGGAUGGUCAGCCACACUGGGACUGACACACGGCCCGGACUACUCCCGGAGGCAGCAGUGGGCAAUAUUGGACAGCGGGCGAGAGCCUGAUCCAGCUCUGACGCGUGAGUGAUGAAGGUCUGAGGGUUGUGAAGCUCUUUUAACCGGGGUGAUAAUGACAGUACCGGCAGAAUAAGCACCGGCUAACUCCGUG
Molecule: ribosomal RNA, 433 nt
Filed under: uncultured bacterium
Lineage: Bacteria
Description: partial 16S ribosomal RNA
Rfam family: Bacterial small subunit ribosomal RNA
Source: RNAcentral